GCCUUCAUGUUGUAGUGGUUCUGCAUGCUGGGCCGAUAAUCCAGAGGUCCGUGGUUCGAUUCCUGGUGAAGGCG
Molecule: transfer RNA, 74 nt
Filed under: Stegodyphus dumicola
Lineage: Eukaryota; Metazoa; Arthropoda; Arachnida; Araneae; Eresidae
Description: tRNA-Ile
Rfam family: tRNA
About the family: Transfer RNA (tRNA) molecules are approximately 80 nucleotides in length.
Source: RNAcentral